This is a long non-coding RNA of Sarcophilus harrisii (Tasmanian devil), 1217 nucleotides long. RefSeq lists it as uncharacterized. The transcript is spliced from 3 exons. The record is from RefSeq and is a predicted model, not a curated record. NCBI's taxonomy places the organism in Eukaryota, Metazoa, Chordata, Mammalia, Dasyuromorphia, Dasyuridae.
GCCCUCUCCCAGGCCUGGCCAAGCCGACCCCGCCCCCGACCACGACCAUUCCCCUUGUUGGCCCAGAGGCAGACACAUCUCAAGUCUCCUUCGCUUCUGGUCCUCCCCCCAUAUAUGAGUUACAUUGAGUUUCUUUUUUCCACCUCCUCUGCCACAUAAAAAUUGUUUCUUUCCCAUUUCCCUACCCCGCCUUCUUUUCCCCUUUCCUCCCUCCCCCUCUCUAUCGACGUGUCUCUCUUGGGCUAUUUUUAGGGGAGUUCCCUAUAAAGGUCCCGGGAAAGUGAGGGCCAGACACUAAGACGUGGCACUCUGGCCCCUACAGGCAGCGAAAUCUGCAGACAUCCACUCCAGAAUACUCUAAUUAUGACACCCCACCCCCAAUGAUGGGAUUAUGUCUCUUAUUUAAAAAGUGAUUUUUCUAAACUGACAUCUUGGAAGAAAAGUGAAGAUGAGAUUAGAGUGAAGAUCAUCACAAGAGAGCAAGCUCCAACCUUGGAUCAUGAUUGACAUGAAAUAAAAAUUUUAAUAUCUGUGAUAUUUAAAAAGAAGGAAGGAGAUUAGGUUAAAAUUAUGAAAAACCACAGACUAAAGACUGUGGCCUUUUGCCAUUUAAUUCUUAAUUGGAUUUUCCAGUGUACAAGCCGGCAGACACAUAUCAUGCUAUGGCAAUCCUUGGGUGUUCAAUCAUUAUCCCUUUCAUUUUUUUUUAUGCUCUUUACUAAGAUCAACCUUACUUUUUGUUCAUUUAUUUGUUUUAAUGUAAUUUUGUAUUUGGGCAAUAUAAUCAGCUGUUUUAUACUAGAGUUAAUUCAUUCAACAAAUAUUAUUAACACUUGCUCUAUGAAAGUAAUGAUACUAGAGUUUUUUAUUUAAAUAUGAUCGUGUCCUUAGGAGGCUAGAUAUUCUAGAUAUUAGCAAGUCAUAGAGAUAUUUUCCCAUGGAUUUAGUUUAUUUUUUAAAAUAGCAGUCUUCAUUUUUCUUAAAAAUAAAAGUGAAAUACUCAAAAUAAUAUUUUAUGUAAAUAUUGUUGACUCUGGUAUUUUAUGGAAAAACUAAGUAAUAGCUGAUAGUAUUGUAUAAUUUACUGAUAUUGAAGGAAGAUAAUAUACCAAAGAUGGUAUGCAGAAGAAAUAUGACAAGGCAAAAGCAAAUCAUGACAGUGAAAACCAUUAUGUGAAAAUGAAGUGUAAAAUUAAAAUUUUCAUUUUCAAAAAAUU